CUCUUAUCCUGAGAUGGUGGAGGAAACAGGUCCUUUGAAGCCCGGCAACCUGCUAUGAGCAAGCGAGUAUGCUUGACGAAUAGAAAGGUGCUUACCUGUAGCAAGGUCGAAAGCCUUGGACGAUAAGAG
Molecule: non-coding RNA, 129 nt
Filed under: Bacillus sp. (in: firmicutes)
Lineage: Bacteria; Bacillati; Bacillota; Bacilli; Caryophanales; Bacillaceae
Description: Bacillus sp. SAM-I sequence
Rfam family: SAM riboswitch aptamer (S box leader)
About the family: The SAM riboswitch is found upstream of a number of genes which code for proteins involved in methionine or cysteine biosynthesis in Gram-positive bacteria. The SAM riboswitch acts at the level of transcription termination control. The predicted structure consists of a complex stem-loop region followed by a single stem loop terminator region.
Source: RNAcentral